UUCAAACGAUACAAAGGUAGUUGUGAAAAAACGUUUUUUUACACUUUUACUUUUUUCAUAGCUUUGUUUAUCUAUAAUAAAGCUUAGUAUACAUGUAUGGAGUAUGGUUGUACAACAUAUAUAAUGUGCAUAUUUCAGCUAUAUGUCUGCAUGGCAAAAAAUG
Nanorana parkeri is the source of this 163-nucleotide long non-coding RNA. RefSeq lists it as uncharacterized. The transcript has 5 exons. The record is from RefSeq and is a predicted model, not a curated record. NCBI's taxonomy places the organism in Eukaryota, Metazoa, Chordata, Amphibia, Anura, Dicroglossidae.